Molecule: ribosomal RNA, 730 nt
Filed under: uncultured phototrophic eukaryote
Lineage: Eukaryota
Description: SSU rRNA
Rfam family: Bacterial small subunit ribosomal RNA
Source: RNAcentral
GUGCCAGCAGCCGCGGUAAGACGGAGGAUGCAAGUGUUAUCCGGAAUCACUGGGCGUAUAGCGUCUGUAGGUUGUUUGAUAAGUCAACUGUUAAAUCUUGAAGCUCAACUUCAAAAUCGCAGUCGAAACUAUUAGACUAGAGUAUAGUAGGGGUAAAGGGAAUUUCCAGUGGAGCGGUGAAAUGCGUAGAGAUUGGAAAGAACACCGAUGGCGAAGGCACUUUACUGGGCUAUUACUGACACUCAGAGACGAAAGCUAGGGUAGCAAAUGGGAUUAGAUACCCCAGUAGUCCUAGCUGUAAACAAUGGAUACUAGAUGUUGGGCAGAUCGACCUGUUCAGUAUCAAAGCUAACGCGUUAAGUAUCCCGCCUGGGAAGUAUGCGCGCAAGCGUGAAACUCAAAGGAAUUGACGGGGGCCCGCACAAGCGGUGGAGCAUGUGGUUUAAUUCGAUGCAACGCGAAGAACCUUACCAGGGUUUGACAUGAUACGAAUCUUUUUGAAAGAAAAGAGUGCCGUUUGGAACGUAUACACAGGUGGUGCAUGGCUGUCGUCAGCUCGUGUCGUGAGAUGUUGGGUUAAGUCCCGCAACGAGCGCAACCCUUAUUUUUAGUUGCCUUUUAAGGAACUCUAGAAAGACUGCUGGUUAUAAACCGGAGGAAGGCGGGGAUGACGUCAAGUCAGCAUGCCCCUUACACCCUGGGCUACACACGUGCUACAUUGGGCGAGACA